This 450-nucleotide ribosomal RNA is filed under the name uncultured bacterium. Its description in RNAcentral is "partial 16S ribosomal RNA". It matches the Rfam family "Bacterial small subunit ribosomal RNA", at positions 354 to 796 of the family's 1533-position model. The record is from RNAcentral.
GUGGGGAAUCUUCCGCAAUGGACGAAAGUCUGACGGAGCGACGCCGCGUGAGUGAAGAAGGCCUUCGGGUCGUAAAGCUCUGUCAUCAGGGACGAACGGCCGGUGGAGUGGAAAGCCACCGGAUUGACGGUACCUGAGAAGGAAGCCACGGCUAACUACGUGCCAGCAGCCGCGGUAAUACGUAGGUGGCAAGCGGUGUCCGGAAUUAUUGGGCGUAAAGCGCGCGCAGGUGGGAUCUUAAGUCCAUUUUUAAAGUUCGGAGCUCAACUCCGUGAUGGGAUGGAAACUGGGAUUCUUGAGUACCGGAGAGGAAAGCGGAAUUCCCCGUGUAGCGGUGAAAUGCGUAGAUAUUAGGAGGAACACCAGUGGCGAAGGCGGCUUUCUGGACUGUAACUGACACUGAGGCACGAAAGCGUGGGGAGCAAACAGGAUUAGAUACCCGAGUAGUCC